Molecule: ribosomal RNA, 423 nt
Filed under: uncultured bacterium
Lineage: Bacteria
Description: bacterial SSU rRNA
Rfam family: Bacterial small subunit ribosomal RNA
Source: RNAcentral
GGGGAAUCUUGCGCAAUGGGCGAAAGCCUGACGCAGCGACGCCGCGUGAGUGAUGAAGGCCUUCGGGUUGUAAAGCUCUGUGGGGAGAGAAGAAUUAGUGUGGGCUAAUCACCACAUGAUGACGGUAUCUCCUUAGCAAGCACCGGCUAACUCUGUGCCAGCAGCCGCGGUAAGACAGAGGGUGCAAACGUUGUUCGGAAUUACUGGGCGUAAAGCGAGUGUAGGCGGUCUUGUAAGUCGGAUGUGAAAGCCCCGGGCUCAACCCGGGAAGUGCACUCGAUACUGCAAGACUUGAGUACCGGAGAGGUUGGUGGAAUUCUCGGUGUAGAGGUGAAAUUCGUAGAUAUCGAGAGGAACACCGGUGGCGAAGGCGGCCAACUGGACGAGUACUGACGCUGAGACUCGAAAGCGUGGGGAGCAAAC